This 593-nucleotide ribosomal RNA is filed under the name Scheffersomyces insectosa. RNAcentral's name for it is "LSU rRNA". It matches the Rfam family "Eukaryotic large subunit ribosomal RNA", at positions 38 to 649 of the family's 3401-position model. Lineage: Eukaryota; Fungi; Ascomycota; Pichiomycetes; Serinales; Debaryomycetaceae. The record is from RNAcentral.
UCAUAUCAAUAAGCGGAGGAAAAGAAACCAACAGGGAUUGUCUUAGUAACGGCGAGUGAAGCGACAAAAGCUCAAAUUUGAAAUCUGGCACCUUCGGUGUCCGAGUUGUAAUUUGAAGAAGGUAACUUUGGAGUUGGCUCUUGUCUAUGUUCCUUGGAACAGGACGUCACAGAGGGUGAGAAUCCCGUGCGAUGAGAUGUCCAACUCUAUGUAAAGUGCUUUCGAAGAGUCGAGUUGUUUGGGAAUGCAGCUCUAAGUGGGUGGUAAAUUCCAUCUAAAGCUAAAUAUUGGCGAGAGACCGAUAGCGAACAAGUACAGUGAUGGAAAGAUGAAAAGAACUUUGAAAAGAGAGUGAAAAAGUACGUGAAAUUGUUGAAAGGGAAGGGUUUGAGAUCAGACUUGGUAUUUUGUAUGUCUUGCUUUCGGGUGGGGCCUCUGCAGUUUACUGGGCCAGCAUCGGUUUGGACGGUGGGAUAAUGACAUUGGAAUGUGGCACUACUUCGGUGGUGUGUUAUAGACUUUGUUGAUACUACCUGUCUAGACCGAGGACUGCGUCUUUGACUAGGAUGCUGGCAUAAUGAUCCUAAACCGCC